UGGUUCUGGCAUCGAUGAAGAACGCAGCGAAAUGCGAUAAGUAAUGUGAAUUGCAGAAUUCAGUGAAUCAUCGAAUCUUUGAACGCACAUUGCGCCCCUUGGUAUUCCGGGGGGCAUGCCUGUUCGAGCGUCAUUACUCUCCUCAAGCGUAGCUUGGUCUUGACCCCCGACCCUCACCCGGUCGCGGUCGAAAGUGAGUGGUGGUCCCGCGCGACUUCGAGUACAGUAAUCUCAUCUUCCUUACUCCGAACGUCGGGCGGCGGUCGGCCAACAACCCCCCAUAUCGUAUCGAAUUGACCUCGGAUCAGGCAGGGAUACCCGCUGA
This 325-nucleotide unclassified non-coding RNA is filed under the name uncultured fungus. RNAcentral's name for it is "partial contains 5.8S ribosomal RNA and internal transcribed spacer 2". The stretch from base 1 to 133 matches the Rfam family "5.8S ribosomal RNA", at positions 22 to 154 of the family's 154-position model. The record is from RNAcentral. Lineage: Eukaryota; Fungi.